This 4893-nucleotide long non-coding RNA is filed under the name Ornithorhynchus anatinus (platypus). RNAcentral describes it as "lncRNA (ENSOANG00000041208.1)". Lineage: Eukaryota; Metazoa; Chordata; Mammalia; Monotremata; Ornithorhynchidae. The record is from RNAcentral.
AUGCCCGAUAAAGACCGGCUGGGCAGUUCUGGCCCAAUCCCCAGUGCCAAUCGGAAAUGGACGUCACCGGCGAUGAACCUCGGAGUAACGGCACAGGCUGAGGCGGAUGCAGAGAGCGGCCAACGAGGCAGCUCCCCCGGCGCCCAACGAGCUGAGCCAGUCCCAGGGGCCCCCCGGGGCCUGGGGACUCCCUGCUGCUUGGUGGCUCCAGAGACAUGGCUUUGGGGGCCACUCUGGAGGGGUCCCGGGGGGGCGGGCUCAGUUGCCAUCACUUCAAAGACGUUAUGGCUGCGUGGCCUAGUGGAAAAAGUCACGGGUCUGGGAGUCGGGACCUGGCUUCAAAUCCCAGCUCUGCUUCUUGCCUCCUGUGUGGCCUCGGGCAAGCCACUUCACUGGGCCUCAGUUUCCCUAUGUGGAAAACGGGGAUUCAAUACCUGUUCUCCUUUGUACUUAGCCCGUGAGCCCCAAGUGGGACCUGACGAUCUUGUAUCGGCACCGGCGCUCAGUACAGUGCUUGACACAGUAAGCGCUUAAGCGUAACACAAUUAUUCAAACCCGGAGGCCUGGCGCGAGGCCUUCGGGGAUGCUAGAAGAGAGAAUUAAAGGCCUCUCUCAUCCCUAUUUAAAAAUAACAAUAAAAUAACAAUAACACACGGUUAGCCUUUACAAUACGCCAAGCACUGUGUUGAGUGGACGCAGGAUAAUCAGACUGGACAGCGUUCCCAUCCUACAUGGUGGUCAAAGUCCCGCUGGUGGGGGUGAGGGGGAACCGGUAUUUAAUCCCCAUCUUACAGAUGAGAAACAAGCCCAGAGAAGUUAAGUAAUCUGCCCAAGGUCAACCAGCGGGCCAGAAAUGGAGCCAGGAUUAGAACCCAAAUCGCCUGCCUCCCAGGCCUGUGCUCUUUCCACUCUUGAGGAAGUAGGAGGAUUAACUUCACCUCCUCUCUCACGGGAAGGGGUGCACCUAACUUUUCCAAGACUUUUCCCCAUCACCAAACCCCUCGCAGAUCAAUCUGGAUUCAUUAAUCUAUCCUGACCAACCUUUCAACGCCCCGAAUGUUUCUGUUAAAUAAUUAGGUGGGGCCUAGUUUGGCCAGUUUCCUACCACUGGCUCGCAGCCGGUCGGUGCCCUGUCCGGUCCAGUUUCGGGACGGGGCACCUUUCUGUUUUCGUCAGUGCCAAGCCCCCCAACCCCGUCAAAUCUGCGGCUCUGAACCCGGGACCCGGGAGACGAACACGACGGCUCUGGAGCAAAUUGAGGGUGAGGGGUCCGCCUGUAAAAACGCACCCAAAGUGGCCUUGGCCAGAUUUCUGCAGAACGGCACGUGCGAUCCCCAGAGGGGAGGCGGUGGCAAUACGAAUUCACCUCCCCCGACGGCUGCUCCCUGUCGACUUCACAGAAGCCAAAGUCACUGGCUUACUGACUGCUUGGAGAAAAGCGGCUACCGUAGUUCCUCUUUCCAACAACCACCACCACACCACCGUAAACACAGACCGGUGGCCCCCUGGGGCCAGUGGACCUGGCCAAACACAAGCCUGCGUUAGCCCCGUCCGUGCUUACAGAUUUCCUCCACUUCCCCUCUUGGCCUCGGUCUCUCUGGACGAGAGCGGCGCGCUGCCCCUUCCGACUGACUCUUGAACCCGACGGAAGUUCCUUCCCGAUCCUGCCGGCCCCGGUCUCCCGUUCGGCAGCCCCAUUUCUAACUCUCACGCCGAAUGGGGCUGCGGGGGGCAUCCAGAGCGGGCUUUACGUUUGCCUCUCGCUCCCCUCCUUGGUAGGUCCAGCUCCCCAUUGGCUUUCUCCACCUGCUCUUGCCCCCUUGGCUCCGAAGGUCCUGCCCUGAUUUGAACUGAGAGCUCAGAGUCCAGCGCUCUGAAGGCAGAGGCCGAGUGGUGGUUCUUUUCUCCCCAGAUGCGCUUCUUGGCUCGGGGUCUUCCAACGGGGCUCCCGACUCCCCCUCGCAUCCAAACCCUCGCCACGGGGUUAGGCCUUGGAUACGGGCCUGGGAGUCAGAAGGACCUGGGAUCGAAUCCUGGCUCCUCCGCUUGCCGGCUGUGCGAUCUCGGGCAAGUCGUUUCACUCCUCUGUGCCUCAGUUACGUCACCUAUUAAAGACUGUGAACCUCAUGUGGGACGUGGACUGUGCCCAACCUGUUCAGUUUCACUUCUCUGGGCCUCGGUUCCCUCAUCUGUAAAAUGGGGAUAGAGACUGGGUCCAACCCGUUUUACUAGUAUCCACCCCAGUGUUCAGUACAGUGUCCGGCAUAUAGUACGCACUUAAAUACCAAAAUUAUCAUCAUCACCCCAGCGUUAGGUACAUCGCUUGGCAUACAGUAAAGGCUUAAUAAAUGCCAUAAAAAAAAAAGCACCAGAGCACGUCAGCCUUGCCAGGAUCAUUUCCUCGCUCUCUGCAAGGGCUGUGGGGAAUGACCCUGGGCCCAGGGACCUGGGAUCUGAAGGCGGAGGGAGCCCAAGGGGAGGGGGAGGGCGAUGCCAGGCUGGCCAACUCUCAACUGCCCCCUCCUUUCCCCUCUCUGCCCCCAGACUGAAACCCUGAUUCUCUCCCCCGGCGACCGCCUUUAAUAAUUAACUACGAGUUAACAGUCACAUAACACUUCAGCUCCCCCCAGCCAGACUCAGAAUUGACUCAAAGGAGAGGAAGGGGCUACCCAGUCCCAGCCCAUCCUUGCCCCAGCAGCAGCACCGCCCCGGGCCCCCAAGAGUCAGCGAGAUGAGACCUCUGGGGCAGGAGGGAAGAUGAGGCCGCCCUUCCCCCUGGCUGCUGGGCCGCGGAGCUGAAAUUCUUGCUAGGUGACGCUGUCACGGAGCGGGCUCCGCCUUCAGAGGCCACGAGGCCAAUCCCUCCCUCCCCGACCCAUGAACCCGGGUAGGGGCAGGCUGCGUGAGCUCUCCCGCAGGACCCGGAAUGGCGUCUACGGACGGGGGCGGGGAGAACUCCACUCCUCCCCACCUCGGGGUGGCUGGGAUCCAGGACCGGCCCUGCCCGGGGCCACGAGGAGAGCUGGGCCGGGCAGAUAAGAGCCCCGUCUUUCCCCCGGGAACCCAGGACCUCCGUCGGUUUCUCGGAGGCUGGCUCGGGAUCCACUCUCCUUCUCCCUCACGGAAUGGGAGAGCCAUCCCUGGCCUCUGGCCCCAGAAAACAAAUCCACCGCAGUUCGGAAAAACGACCUUUGUCCCCAACCCCCGGCUUUGGAUGUGGAGAAACAGCCACCUGUUACGCUCAGGUGAAGGAAGAAGCACGAGGUGCAGAGCUGGAAAAGUCACAUCCUUUUUUUCUGUUCUCCUGGAAGACAACCAGCCUCCUAACAUGAGAAUCCAAGGGCAAAUCUAAAUUCCCACAGGGCACAGGAGGAAGGACGGGGGCCCCAUCGCUCAGUUCGGCCUGGACGGACAGGGGUGGGGGUGGUGGGGGAAGAGGCCGACCAGGGCCGGGGAGGACUGAGGCGGAGCGCCCAAGGUGGGUCAGGAGCUUUCCUGGCUGGGCCAAGGAGUCGAGUUUCACGUGGGAGCCCGGCCCUACCCUCGGACGGAGCUGGGUCACGGGGCAGGAAGUUAGUCACAGAAUCAGAGAUGGGGAAAAAAUAAAACCAUUAUGUCAUCCACUCCACCCACUGCCAGCCCAGAACAGUGCCCAACUACUUAAUUGUACUUUUUGGCUCCCCUACUUCUGCCCUCUUAAUCCAUGCUACCCAACGGAUGCCCCCUCCUUCAGUCGCACCGACACCGCUUCCCUGCUUGCUGCGGCCCAGUGGAUGGAGCACGGGCCUGCAAGUCAGAAGGACCUGGGUUCUCAUCUUGGCUCUGCCACUUGUCUGCUGUGGGACCUGGGGCAAGUUACUUAACUUCUCUGGGCUGCGGUUACCUCAUCUGUAAAAUGGGGAUUAAGACUGUGAGCCCCAUGUGGGGGAGGGACUGUCUACCCCAACACUUAGCACAGUGCCUGGCACACAGUACGCUCUCAAAGAACACCAUGUUAAAAAUAUAAGGACUGUUAGGGGUUUACGAAGCCCUUCUAGGGUGCCAGGCGUUGUGCUGGGGGAGAUCCAAGGUACGCGAGUGUGACAACCCCGCCGCGAACCCCACGUUCUCGGUGGCAGGAAGGGUGGGGACUCGUUUAUUCCCAUUUCACAGGCGAGGAAGCUGCGGCCCGGAGAGGUUCAGCAGCUCAAUCAGCAGGCCACCAGCGGAGCUGGGAUUUAAACCCGGGUCUCCCGACGAUCAGGCCUGAGCUCACUCCACGCUGCUUUCGCCAGUUCCCCUCCUUUCCUCUCCUCAGUGCCGAGAACCUCAGACGGACGCUCAAAGGACAGCACGCCGCUCCUUAACUGCCGCUUCACAAGCGAUACGGAUUGCUUCUUUUAAUCUCUCCUCGGCCACUCCCUCAGGUCUCCCGGUUGUUGCUGUUCUUCUUCAGUUUCCUCCUACACCGAAUUUGAACCAGCGGCUGGGGGGGGGCGGUGGCCGACUACACAGAGGACCGGACCAACCAAAUCCCGAUCCUCUUCCAGAAAUGCCCGGCAACAUAGGCCAGAAAACCCGCCAAGACCUCAGGACCGAGCGGGGAGGGGAGAGGCGAGAAGAGGGAGAGGAGGAAAGGGGACGGGGAGGGAGGCGACCUCAAGCCUUUUAACCGGGGUCUCACCACCAAGCGAGAUGGAAACAAGGGCUGAUGGGCUCUGUCUAGGCCGGGUCUACCCGGGGCAAGCACCCCGGACGGGAGGCCGGACCCUGACUUCUGGGGGGCUUGCGGCCUUGGUUUCUCUCGGAACAUUCCCGGUCGGCAUCCCCGAUCCUAAUAAUAAUAAUAAUGUUGGUAUUCGUCAAGCGCUUACUCUGUGCAGAGCACUGUUCUAAGCGCGGGGGGAGAUACGG